GACGAACGCUGGCGGCGUGCUUAACACAUGCAAGUCGAACGGAAAGGCCCUGCUUUUGUGGGUUGCUCGAGUGGCGAACGGGUGUGUAACACGUGAGUAACCUGCCCUUGACUUUGGGAUAACUUCAGGAACCUGGGGCUAAUACCGGAUAGGAGCUCCUGCUGCAUGGUGGGGGUUGGAAAGUUUCGGCGGGUGGGGAUGGACUCGCGGCUUAUCAGCUUGUUGGUGGGGUAGUGGCUUACCAAGGCUUUGACGGGUAGCCGGCCUGAGAGGGUGACCGGCCACAUUGGGACUGAGAUACGGCCCAGACUCCUACGGGAGGCAGCAGUGGGGAAUAUUGCACAAUGGGCGGAAGCCUGAUGCAGCGACGCCGCGUGCGGGAUGACGGCCUUCGGGUUGUAAACCGCUUUCGCCUGGGACGAAGCGUGAGUGACGGUAAUGGGUAAAGAAGCACCGGCUAACUACGUG
Molecule: ribosomal RNA, 468 nt
Filed under: uncultured bacterium
Lineage: Bacteria
Description: partial 16S ribosomal RNA
Rfam family: Bacterial small subunit ribosomal RNA
Source: RNAcentral